This 683-nucleotide ribosomal RNA is filed under the name uncultured bacterium. Its description in RNAcentral is "bacterial SSU rRNA". It matches the Rfam family "Bacterial small subunit ribosomal RNA", at positions 104 to 805 of the family's 1533-position model. The record is from RNAcentral.
GGGUGAGUAACGCGUGGGCAACCUGCCCUGUACCGGGGGACAACAGCCAGAAAUGGCUGCUAAUACCGCAUAAGCCUGCUGUGCCGCAUGGCACAGCAGGGAAAACCACGGUGGUACAGGAUGGGCCCGCGUCUGAUUAGUUAGUUGGCAGGGUAACGGCCUACCAAGACAACGAUCAGUAGCCGGCUUGAGAGAGUGGACGGCCACAUUGGGACUGAGACACGGCCCAGACUCCUGCGGGAGGCAGCAGUGGGGAAUAUUGCACAAUGGGGGGAACCCUGAUGCAGCAAUGCCGCGUGGGUGAAGAAGCACUCCGGUGCGUAAAGCCCUGUCAGCAGGGAAGAAAAUGACAGUACCUGGACAAGAAGCCCCGGCUAACUACGUGCCAGCAGCCGCGGUAAUACGUAGGGGGCAAGCGUUAUCCGGAUUUACUGGGUGUAAAGGGAGCGCAGGCGGCGUGGCAAGUCAGAUGUGAAAACCCGGGGCCCAACCCCGGGAGUGCAUUUGAAACUGCCAUGCUGGAGUGCCGGAGAGGUAAGCGGAAUUCCUAGUGUAGCGGUGAAAUGCGUAGAUAUUAGGAGGAACACCAGUGGCGGAGGCGGCUUACUGGACGGUAACUGACGCUGAGGCUCGAAAGCGUGGGGAGCAAACAGGAUUAGAUACCCUGGUAGUCCACGCCGUAA